UUGAGGCACUUGAGAAUUUCUCGUACAUCAUAUGGGAUAUUGUCUUCAGCUUCAUUCGCAUCAUGCUCGAGCAAGUGUAUCAAAAUAUUCUUUCUCAACUCAUAACCAUCCUACAUGAGCAAUGCAUGAUGUUAGGAUGCAAUUUUGCUUCAAACUUUUUAUGAACGUGUGAUAUAGAACACUCACCGUGCAAAUUGGACGAACAAAUUUGUUACCAUGCCAGAGCAUAUAAUUGAAAACAAAAUAACCAGAUUCAUUCCUGUAGAUGAAUACACUAUCAUUAUCUUCGGAGGUUAUGACAAUAAAUCUAAAACAUGCAUAGUGAUUUUCAGAGUAACUGACCGGUCUAGGCUCAUCGGAACAUCAAUUGGUGAUUUACGUGGCCAGGCAAAUGUAUCAGACUUCCAACCCGGUUGUGCUAAUUCGAGUGCAUCAUUCAGGUAGAAUGCAACCCUCUGAAAUUUUAACGCAUAUCUCUCUGGGGAUAAGGGCGGAAAUAGUGGGUCCAAAAUAGUUACUUGACGUGAAUGUUUGUCGAUUGCGAACAAGAUGUAGUGGCCGAGGAAUGCAUGAGGGAGCAAUAUCUGCAAGCAACACUCAUUCAGAACAAACAUUAAUCACGACAACCAUAUAAAAUAGACCAAACUUACCCAAUUGCAUGAUGAUAUGUUGUCUAUCUCAGUCGAGCUACGGAGCAACGAUGCUAGCGCCUGAAUAUCUGGCUGUACCCGCGAAUCUAAAUCUCGUGCGGAAGCGAGGGCGGCCUCGAUCACGGACGUCUAGGUAAAAAAUG
This 793-nucleotide long non-coding RNA is filed under the name Triticum aestivum (bread wheat). RNAcentral's name for it is "long non-coding RNA (TAES_LNC014482)". Lineage: Eukaryota; Viridiplantae; Streptophyta; Magnoliopsida; Poales; Poaceae. The record is from RNAcentral.